AUACGUAGGGGGCAAGCGUUAUCCGGAAUUAUUGGGCGUAAAGCGCGCGCAGGCGGCCGGUUAAGUCAGAUGUGAAAGGCUGCGGCUCAACCGCAGAGCGGCAUCUGAAACUGGUCGGCUUGAGUGCAGGAGAGGGGAGCGGAAUUCCCGGUGUAGCGGUGGAAUGCGUAGAGAUCGGGAGGAACACCAGUGGCGAAGGCGGCUCUCUGGCCUGUAACUGACGCUGAGGCGCGAAAGCGUGGGGAGCAAACAGGAUUAGAUACCCUGGUAGUCCACGCCGUAAACGAUGAGUGCCAGGUGUUGGGGGCUACGCCCCUCAGUGCCGAAGGCAACCCAUUAAGCACUCCGCCUGGGGAGUACGGCCGCAAGGCUGAA
This 375-nucleotide ribosomal RNA is filed under the name uncultured bacterium. Its description in RNAcentral is "bacterial SSU rRNA". It matches the Rfam family "Bacterial small subunit ribosomal RNA", at positions 523 to 898 of the family's 1533-position model. The record is from RNAcentral.